RNAcentral lists this transfer RNA (76 nucleotides) under Trueperaceae bacterium. RNAcentral's name for it is "tRNA-Thr". It matches the Rfam family "tRNA". Rfam says of the family: Transfer RNA (tRNA) molecules are approximately 80 nucleotides in length. Their secondary structure includes four short double-helical elements and three loops (D, anti-codon, and T loops). RNAcentral also lists the same sequence under 1 other name. Lineage: Bacteria; Thermotogati; Deinococcota; Deinococci; Trueperales; Trueperaceae. The record is from RNAcentral.
GCCACCCUAGCUCAAUCGGUAGAGCAUCCGACUUGUAAUCGGAAGGUUGUCGGUUCGAUUCCGAUGGGUGGCUCCA